This is a small nucleolar RNA of Rhea pennata, 91 nucleotides long. RefSeq annotates it as small nucleolar RNA SNORD35. The record is from RefSeq and is a predicted model, not a curated record. Lineage: Eukaryota; Metazoa; Chordata; Aves; Rheiformes; Rheidae. The transcript has a single exon.
UGCACAUGAUGCUAUUCUCACGAUGGUCUUCCAAGUCUCGUGGUGAAGGGGCUUUGACGACAAUGCCGCAUGGCUUUGCUGAUGCCUAGUG